GACGAACGCUGGCGGCGUGCUUAACACAUGCAAGUCGAACGGAAAGGCCCUGCUUUUGUGGGGUGCUCGAGUGGCGAACGGGUGAGUAACACGUGAGUAACCUGCCCUUGACUUUGGGAUAACUUCAGGAAACUGGGGCUAAUACCGGCUAGGAGCUCCUGCUGCAUGGUGGGGGUUGGAAAGUUUCGGCGGUUGGGGAUGGACGCGCGGCUUAUCAGCUUGUUGGUGGGGUAGUGGCUUACCAAGGCUUUGACGGGUAGCCGGCCUGAGAGGGUGACCGGCCCCAGUGGCACUGGGGUACGGCCCAGACUCAUACGGGAGGCAGCGGUGGAAAAUAUUGCACAAUGGGCGGAGGCCUGGUGCAGGAACGCCGCGUGCGGAAUGACGGCCUUCGGGUUGUAAACCGCUUUCGCCUGUGACGAAGCGUAAGUGACGGUAAUGGGUAAAGAGACACCGGCUAACUACGU
RNAcentral lists this ribosomal RNA (467 nucleotides) under uncultured bacterium. RNAcentral describes it as "partial 16S ribosomal RNA". It matches the Rfam family "Bacterial small subunit ribosomal RNA", at positions 28 to 506 of the family's 1533-position model. The record is from RNAcentral.